UGCGUAGGCGGGCUAAUAAGUCAGUGGUGAAAUCUUCCGGCUCAACCGGGAACCUGCCAUUGAUACUGUUAGUCUUGAGUUCGGUUGAGGUAGGCGGAAUGUGUAAUGUAGCGGUGAAAUGCUUAGAUAUUACACAGAACACCAAUUGCGUAGGCAGCUUACUAGACCGACACUGACGCUGAGGCACGAAAGCGUGGGGAGCGAACAGGAUUAGAUACCCUAGUAGUCC
This 229-nucleotide ribosomal RNA is filed under the name uncultured bacterium. RNAcentral's name for it is "partial 16S ribosomal RNA". It matches the Rfam family "Bacterial small subunit ribosomal RNA", at positions 568 to 796 of the family's 1533-position model. The record is from RNAcentral.